GUACUUCUAUGAGUAUAUUUAAGUUUUAAAUUGCAAUUAAAUGUGCUCAAUCAAUAUGAAAUGCCUACCUUCAUCUACUUUUAUGUCUAGACACUGAUGUUGUUUGGAUUCCACACCCACAUCUAUGUCAAUAUCCAAUCUGAGUGUUCUUUUGGGUGCUAAUCAUCUACAUUAAUAACAUGUGCACAAAUUAUUAAAGGGACCUUAAAUCUACGACUUCUUUUUCUCCAGAGUGUUUCUUCCCGUGGCACCCUUUCCUACAGUAAAUUCCCUUGAUUUCCCCUUUCGCACCGUGGUUUUGUUCUAGCAUUCUUCAAGCUCUCACGAAAAAUCAUUAAUGAUUCCUUCCAUUGCCCAUGCUCUGCAACAAAAUUACAUCGAACUCCUUUGAGGGAACUGCAGAUUUUGUAUAAACUGCAGUUCGCUUGUUACUUCUUUGUUCUUCUAAAUCUUUAUCGUCUCUGGAGGAAUUUUCCUCCCUCUCGGUCCUGUAGGUGAAGUCUCUCCUUACUUUUAUGUCUGCAACGCAACCACUUUCUCCUCUUAUCUCCUGAGGAAGCAAGUCAUUGAUAACCAUAUUGUCCAACAAUUUAUUAUUAUUAGUAGGGAGAAAAUUGCUUGUUUCUUCCAUUCAUUUCUUAAAGUUCGAGAUCGGGUGGCUAUCGUUAUAUUUUUCUGGGAUAUGAAGAGGGCUUACCGGAGAGUCCAAUAACCAAUCUGCAAGAUUAUUUAUGCUAUUCGAUGAGCUAAUCGAAGCGUAGGUACCUUUACAAACGGAAAAGCGUUGUUCAUAGGAGGAAUUAUGAUCAUUGGAAAUGCUAAUCAAGUUUGGAUUAGGUAGCCAUUACUUCCAAUGUCAUUACUUGUAGAAUUAUACGGUCUUCUUGAGUAAUAGUUAUCCGGUAUCUCACCAUUCUGGUCGAGAAGAAAGAUGAAGGGCAAACAAAUAAUUUUCAUCACUAUUAUCCAUUUAAUCUAUUUUGUAUCUGCCAUCGAAUCAUAAGCUUCUCGAUUAUUCUUCUGCUCUUCUUCCCUCACAGUUUCUGUUGUUCUCUUUAAUCUCCAUUUUAUACAAUUGUUUCAUUUGUUUUUGUAUGCUAUUCUACUUUGGUAUUGCUGUUUAAUUAUUUUGGGCUUUUUUUUUCUGAGGUAUCAAACUGAACUUUCUUUAAGGCCACAAUCUUCCUAUCAUCCCUGUUUCACGCUCUAUACACAUUGCUAUCAUAUUAGGACUUAUAAAUAUACUUUUUGCUUUGAUUGUGGUCUAAGAUAUUAGUUUAAACUUACAUUUAAAUUUUAGUUUUGUUUCCUUUUCAUUUGGUCUUCUUACCUCUUUAUUUUUGUGAUUCUUCUUAUCAGAAUAUCACUGCCCAUGAAACUAUGUUUAAUAUGGCAUAUGUGUGAUACUACUUGAAGCUUGAGUUUGUUUUGCCCCACUUUUGUGUGUGAUAAAAGAUCUCUUUAGACAAGAAUUGGAUUUUGUUAGGUUUUUAGGUAAAACUAUUUGAGCCACAGCCCACAAGUGUGUGGUGAAUUUCUUGAAAGAAAUUUCUUUUCGAUCAAACUUCUAGAGUCUUCUUUCAAAGCUUGAGGUUUGUUAGAUCGUGAUUUUAUGGCUAUACAGUUUGUGGAUUCAAGAGUAGUAUAUUCUGUUUGACAGAGAACUUUCGAUCCUUAUGGUCCCUCCAUGUCUAGGGAUUAAGACUGAUCCAAUAAAACUUUUUUCUUUUCUUAUUGUCCUCUUAACACCAGUGAUCAAUUUAAUUCGGAAUAUAACUUCAGUUUGCUAUUAAUUAUUUCCUUGGAGGUAUGAGUGGCUGGCAGGGCCUAGAUGUGCUUCAUGAGAUUGAUAAACAAGAGCAUAAGAUACAUCUUUUCGAUUAAUCCUACUUCUUCAGAGGAUAGCACAACCAGUAAUAUGCUGAAAUUGAACCUGCUCUAUGUGUAUGUCCCACACUUAGACAAGCACAUCAUCACAACUUGUGCAAGUUAGCAGUCAAUUACUUCAAUGACCUACCACACUAAGAGCUUAAGAGCACAAUCACUUGUUCCAACAUAUUCAAUUGCUAGACACUUAAUUGCUAUUGAAAGGCUUUAGGAAUGAUGAAAUAUGCGGAUCAUCGUGUCUUCCCUAUUGUUACAUUUGUUGACACUCCAGGGUCUUUUGCUGAUUUAAGAUCUGAAGAGCUAAGUUAGGGUGAGCCAAUAGGCCAUACUUUAAGGGUGUUUGGGCUGACAGUUCCAAUCAUAACAGUUGUAACUAAUGAAGGUGGUUCAGGCAGAUCUCUUGCCAUUGAAUGUGUAAACAAGUGGUUAAAGUUGGAAAACUCCACAACAUUUUAUGUUGCCAGUCCUAAAGGUUGUUCUGUAAUAUUAUGGAAGUCUUCACAAUCAGCUCCAAAGGUAUUUGAGAAAUAGUUGUUCAAGUUUGUGAAAUUAAUGGUUUAUCAUUAAUACAAUUCUGAUUGAAUAGGCAGCUGAGAAACUGAGGAUCACAGCUCAAGAACAUUAUAAACUCUUGAUAGCAAAUGCAAUUAUUCCAAUAAGUACCAUCUCUAUACUUUUCCACCUUUAUACUUAAUUUUGUUUCAGAGAGGAAAAAUUGGAAUCUAUGGUGAAGGGUUGGUGAUGCAAGUAGUGUGAAGAAAUAGUAGACACAACCUGUAUUCUAAGUUGAGCUUUUUUAUGCUUUUGGUGCUAUUGCACACUUUUCAUUUACAAGAAGGUUAGAUGCAAUUCUAAUAAGUAUUAACUACAUGACCUUUUCUCAAAUUUGGGAAAAAGAGAUUGAUGACUAGAAUCGGUAGUUUAAAGACUGACUGAUGUGUUUCUCAUACCUAAGCAGACAAAGAAGUGGGAAACGUGAAUUUUCCUUUUUGCGAGAAGUGAUUUACAAAGUAUGUUAGGAUAAAGUUUGAAUUUUAUGUAGUUGUUCUAGAGUUUUGUUGCUCAUGGUCAAAAAUGGAUUGAUGGGCGUAUUUGAUAGUUUUUUCAGCAUAUUCGUCGCAGUUGUAAUCCAUUUAUCCUUUAGUGCCACCUCUAUUUGUUUAUGGGUUAUCAAUCAUUAGGCAAUUGGUUAGUAGUUCGAUUAAUUCAUAAAUCCUGAUUGUUUGUAGCCUAAAUAGCAUGGCCCAUUGUGGAGAACUUGAGGUUCUAUUUUUUUAGCCUAAAUAGCACGGCUCAUUGUCAAAAACUUGAGGUUUUGUUGGUCUACAGACCUAAUUUGUGAUUAAUUAAGCAGGUUCCUUGCUGUAUCAAAUUAGUGAUAUCUUACAUGUUUGUUUUGCCUAAUAAUAAGAAAGGAAGUAGAAGAUCCGCCCUCUGUAUUUGUGAAUUAAUUUUGGUUAGACAUUUUUAUUUGAAUUUUAUUUGUCAAUAUUCA
Molecule: long non-coding RNA, 3382 nt
Organism: Solanum tuberosum (potato)
Lineage: Eukaryota; Viridiplantae; Streptophyta; Magnoliopsida; Solanales; Solanaceae
Exons: 4
Source: RefSeq, a predicted model, not a curated record